AGAGCGAACGCUGGCGGCAGGCCUAACACAUGCAAGUCGAGCGCCCGUAGCAAUACGGGAGCGGCAGACGGGAGAGUAACACGUGGGAACGCGCCCUUCGGUUCGGAAUAACUCAGGGAAACUUGAGCUAAUACCGGAUACGCCCUUACGGGGAAAGAUUUAUUGCCGAAGGAACGGCCCGCGUCCGAUUAGCUUGUUGGUGAGGUAAUGGCUCACCAAGGCGACGAUCGGUAGCUGGUCUGAGAGGAUGACCAGCCUCACUGGGACUGAGACACGGCCCAGACUCCUACGGGAGGCAGCAGUGGGGAAUAUUGGACAAUGGGCGCAAGCCUGAUCCAGCCAUGCCGCGUGGAUGAUGAAGGCCCUAGGGUUGUAAAGUCCUUUAACGGGGAAGAUAAUGACGGUACCGUAGAAUAAGCCCGGCUAACUUCGUGCCAGCAGCCGC
RNAcentral lists this ribosomal RNA (445 nucleotides) under uncultured bacterium. RNAcentral's name for it is "SSU rRNA". It matches the Rfam family "Bacterial small subunit ribosomal RNA", at positions 26 to 518 of the family's 1533-position model. The record is from RNAcentral.